AGUGAACGCUGGCGGUAGGCCUAACACAUGCAAGUCGAACGGCAGCACAGUAAGAGCUUGCUCUUACGGGUGGCGAAUGGCGGACGGGUGAGGAAUACAUCGGAAUCUACUUUUUCGUGGGGGAUAACGUAGGGAAACUUACGCUAAUACCGCAUACGACCUACGGGUGAAAGCAGGGGAUCUUCGGACCUUGCGCGAUUGAAUGAGCCGAUGUCGGAUUAGCUAGUUGGCGGGGUAAAGGCCCACCAAGGCGACGAUCCGUAGCUGGUCUGAGAGGAUGAUCAGCCACACUGGAACGGAGACACGGUCCAGACUCCUACGGGAGGCAGCAGUGGGGAAUAUUGGACAAUGGGCGCAAGCCUGAUCCAGCCAUACCGCGUGGGUGAAGAAGGCCUUCGGGUUGUAAAGCCCUUUUGUUGGGAAAGAAAAGCAGCAGGUUAAUACCCCGCUGUUCUGACGGUACCCAAAGAAUAAGCACCGGCUAACUUCGUG
This 492-nucleotide ribosomal RNA is filed under the name uncultured bacterium. RNAcentral's name for it is "partial 16S ribosomal RNA". It matches the Rfam family "Bacterial small subunit ribosomal RNA", at positions 29 to 507 of the family's 1533-position model. The record is from RNAcentral.